Molecule: long non-coding RNA, 3984 nt
Organism: Electrophorus electricus (electric eel)
Lineage: Eukaryota; Metazoa; Chordata; Actinopteri; Gymnotiformes; Gymnotidae
Source: RefSeq, a predicted model, not a curated record
UGUCUAAUCAUGCACUUAGUUUUGGUUUCGGUUUCUUUAUCCCUCCUCUUUGUCGUCUUUUUUCGUUCUCCGCCAUAAUCGUCUUCAGGUUUCCCUCGUGGUCAUUUUUAUGCCUUCGUGUAUUUAAACCCCGAGUUCUCUAGUGUAUGUCACUAGUCACUGAGCCCAAUUUGUCGUACACGUUACUGGAAGAGGAUCGCAAGAGAACGAAGCGAAGCGAGACGAGACCAGACGAGACGGACAAACCUUUAGAAUGUAACCAGAUGGCAAGCCCCAGGCCUGAGUCGGAGGAUUCGUGUUGAAGUGGAGAGGACUCUUUCACUGUUUCUGUCUCGGACCAUUCUUCGCCAUUGCUACUGAUCCAAGGGAAUUAAGAAGCAUUAGUGACCCCAGAAACCAGUUUUGAUCCACCAAAUCAGCGCUCACGCAACACAACACCCCAGUGUAAGGACUACAGUACAAUGAAACUGCUGGUGAAAUCUACAUAUGAUGGGUGUGCAAGGAUUAUGUGGAGUGGGAUAGCGGAGAGGCCGGAAAUGGGAAUAGGUCUUAUUCGUGAUGAAACUCAUGAAACAUUUCGCAUUUACCUGGUUAAAGGAAGAUCUUCUGGAACUAUUGACACUAGAAUCCCCCUAAAUUCUGGCCUUCAAGUGGCUCUUUAUAAGGUUGAUAAAGGCUUUUUUUUCCUCAUCCUACCAAAUCAUUCACAGGGGCCCAGUGUUUGAUGAAGCCAACGGGGUUGUACCCACUAGAAUGAAAGGUUUUGAUGCCAGUUUACAGCUCUAUACUAAAGGUAGAUAUGCUUGUGCUCGACUCUACAUCAACAAGUCCUUCAUUGAUUGGAAAUACGUCUUCAAGAACUCUUGGGUGGGAUUCUACAAAAGUACACUGGAUCAUAAUGACAAGUAUAAAAAAUACCAAUGGAGUAUAAAUUUUAAGAAGAGAUCAAAUCAAAAUGACACUCCAGAUUAUGACAUCUAUGAGUAUGAAUCCAGCCUGGCUGUUGGUCCUGGACUACAAGCUCGAUUUAUGCUGGAAAAAAACUAUGGAAGUGAGAAAGCCCGCACUGAACCCUGGGAAGGUUAUGAUUCCAGGCUUCAGCUUUACACUAGAGAUGGAUACGUUUGCGCUCGACUCUACAUCAAGAAGUCCUACACCAAUUGGAAAAAUGUCUUCAAGAACUCAUGGGUGGGAUUCUAUCUAAGUUCCCAGGAUAAUAAUCGCAGUUACAAAACAUUCCAGUGGAGCACAAAAUUCAAAAAGAAGUCAGAUUAUGCUUACUCUGAGGAUUAUGACAUCUAUGAAUUCCAGUCCAUCUUGGCUAUUGCACAUGGAGUGCAGGUUCGGUUAAUGCUGGACAAAGGCUAUGAUGAGGAGAGAGUCCGCACUGAACCCUGGGAGGGCUUAACCAAUCUUCCAUCAAACAUAUGAUGAGUUGCAGAAGAAAUAAAGGAUCAGUGGAGAAGAGCAAUCCCCUCUACCCCAUCUUCCUUAACUGACCUUUCACCUUUGAAUAAUCACAACACCCAUUCUGGAGGACCGGAAACAGAGGACCUUUGGCUCCAGAAAAUUAGGACUCCACCACCAUUAUCAGAUUCAAAUCUAUACCAAAAAAAGGUUUACGACAUGGCUCAAAUUUUGUGGCUACUGGACCUGGACUGUUGAACUCAAAAGGCAUGAAACACCUCUCUUGGAAUUUCAAAAUAGACUCAUAUGUUCAGGUUUGCAAUGCUUGUUAAAACUCUGUAUUCUGGGAAAACUAUUGGAAUAUGACCCUUCCCGAAGUAAGCAUCUCUUCAUGUAGAGUACAAGGAUACCAAACUUGGAUUAUUUCGCUAAUGGGAUGGACAUAUUAUCCCGGAUUAAAUGUUUGACUGUUUUGAGCCAUGGACCCACAAUGCCUUCUAAUGUCUGCCACAAGGCUUCCAACAUAGUCAUGACAGAUUGGGAUGCCUACCAUUUCAGAAUUGUGCUCAAUCAUAGGAAAAACUCAACUAGUUUCAUAUAAAUGGCAGCAAAAUUGAUGGUUACUUUCUUGUCAACUUGUAGAAACGUGGUGUAUUCCAUUAGACCUGCUCCUAUAGAUCGGGAUAAAAGCUCCAUUUAUUACAGGCAAAUCCAGAGUCGUAGUCAUUGUUACAGUCCAGGGUCAAAUUACUAAUAUGGAGAUUCCGAGAAUUCAUGAUAAACUAAAUGAAACAAAAGUGCACGAAGACAAACCAGGAAUGCAGGCUAUAACAAAGGGGCGAGGAGAAACAUUCAGGCUUAUAUUCACAUGCACGGAAGCCUCGAUUAACAAACAGCAGCUGGACUUACAAUAAAUACCAACAAGACUAAACUAAAACAGGGCUUAAAAACAUGGUCAAAUGAGCAUUAAACCAGACACAAGUGCAAAUUAUGAGGGUUGCAGAAAACGAAACUAAGGAACAGAACCGCAACAAGGAAGUGAAUCAAAACAAAGACACUAGACAGGGAAACCGUGGAGACAUGAACGCUAGGAGGGUGGUCAGUGGUGACAGGAAGCUUGUUUCAGUCAUGGAUGUCUUUGGCAAAAUGAAUGCAACUAAAAUGCUUUCCUCAUGUGUCCUAAUAACCAAAUAAUAACCAAGUUCUUCUUUAUUUCUAAAUAAUAUGCUUUUGGGAAAUUGCAUAACUGUUUUCUUCUAUAUUGUGAGUUAUAUUACUUUCUUUUAUUCAGAAACACGGGAGACUCAGAUGAAAAGUGUAAUGCAAAUGAUUGACUUAUUAUAUCAUUGUCACGUUAUGGCCCCGCCACCUCCUCACCUGUGUUGCCACAGCCUCUUGUGUCGUGCACCUGUUUUGCAUUGUGUGUAAUCGCCUUUAGUGUAUAUACGUCUCCUGUGUCGUAGAGUGUUUGUUAGUGUUUAAGGUGUCCAGAGCAUGAGUGUUGUGAUUUAUGUAUCAUUCGUGUGUGUAACAAACGUCUGUUUAAUCGUGCCUCUUCUACGCAUCCUGUUUACCUCGAGACGUGAUCCUGGUGUAGAAGUGGAGGAGUCACAAGGGACUACGUCCAACUACCAUGACUGGUAUAAUGAUUUCCAGUCCUCGGAGUCGGACAUCGCACACUUCUCCCUUCUCUUGAACUGUACACGUCUGGCAGUCCGAACUCCACUAGAACAAACUCAGAUGAUCCGAGACUCGCCCUCGCCCCUGACCAACUCUUGGCCCACCUGAAAAACGCUGACAAAUGUCUCAAGACCAUAUUUGAAAUGCAAAGUGUAAGGUGGCUCCUGAGUGUAGCAGGAUAUGACAUAGAUGCCAGGUACGCCGUUGUGUGAAGGCCACAGCGCAGUAAAGAUAGAAGUGAAAUCUACACCGCAUGGUUAUGCGAGACUCACGUGGAGGGGCAUUCCCAGGAACAUCAUGCAACUGGAACCUACUCUCGUCCUCUUCACAAGUGACACAUCUGAGGCCCUUGAGACAUUUCUACCCCUUAAAGACGAAACAUCAGGAUCCGAGGACACUUUUGUUGCACUAAAACACGGACUCCAUUCACAUCUAAUCUCCUACGGUUUCUCCACGGGCCAUGUUUUUUUUGGCAUUCGCUACUCAGUAAUCUGGAGGGGGCCACAGUUCGAUGGGGCCAACAGGGUAAUCCCUAUCGAAAUCCGUGGCUACAACGCUAGCUUGCAGCUUUACACCAGAGGAGGUUAUGUGGUUGCUCGUAUGGGUAUACAUUAACAAUGCAUGUUGUGAGUUCCCUUUAAAGAGAGAAAUCUUUUUAGUGUUGACACUUUCUGCUACUUUCUGCUUCUGCUACAUCUUAUUAUGACCAAUCCAAGUAAAUUUCAAUUAUUACACUGGCUACACUUACAAUUGCAAUGUGUAUAUUUGUGUAUGUGUCUGUGUGUGCAUUUCUCUGACUUUUACUAGAGGUGCCCCUGCUAAUUAACACUGUACCAAAUGUAUUUGAAUGAUUGACUGAUCAACCAAUAAACCUUAUUGCAUAAUAUUUCAUGCUGA